AACAGCUCACUGGUCGAGUGGACAUGCGCCGACAAUAUACGGGGCUAAGCACGGCACCGAAGCGGCGGGAUUGACCUGGUCAAUCGGUAGGGGAGCUUUCCGUCCGCGGGGAAGCGAGGGGACGACCCCUCGUGGAGCGGCCGGAAGUGAGAAUGCUGGCAUGAGUAGCGAGAGCGGCGUGGGAAACGCCGCCGCCGUAAACCCAAGGUUUCCUGGGCGAGGCUAAUCCUCCCAGGGUCAGUCGGGAGCUAAGGCGAGGCCGGGAGGCGUAGCCGAUGCACAGCAGGUGGACAUUCCUGCACCUCCGAAGCGGAGCUUGACCGACGGGGUGACGGAGAAGGGUAGCCGGACGGGGUUCUGGACGUCCCCGCGAGGCCGCGUAGGGCGGUGCGCAGCGAAGCGCGCGCACCAUGGAGCCUGAGGCGGCGGACGAAGCGACUGAGCGAAGCCGGUGAGCCCAUGCUUCCAAGAAAAGCCCCUAGGGAUCCGCGAGGAGCCCGUACCGCAAACCGACACAGGUGGGUGGGUAGAACAUACCAAGGCGAUCGGGUCAACCAUGGUUAAGGAACUCGGCAAAACUGCCCCGUAACUUCGGGAGAAGGGGUGCCGGGCCCGGUGGAGGAACUAGCUUCCCGAGCCGGGGCCGGCCACAGCGAAGAGGUCCAAACGACUGUUUAUCAAAAACACAGGACUCUGCUCAAGCCGUAAGGCGACGCAUAGGGUCUGACGCCUGCCCGGUGCCGGAAGGUCACGGGGAGCCGUCAUCCUUCGGGAGAAGCGGCGAACCCAAGCCCCGGUAAACGGCGGCCGUAACUAUAACGGUCCUAAGGUAGCGAAAUUCCUUGUCGGGUAAGUUCCGACCUGCACGAAAGGCGCAACGAUUUGGACGCUGUCUCGACCAUGGCCCCGGCGAAAUUGCACUAGUCGUGAAGAUGCGACUUACCCGCGGAAGGACGGAAAGACCCCGUGAACCUUUACUGCAGCUAGGCAUUGGCUGCCGGUCCGUCGCGUAGAGGAUAGGUGGGAGGCUUUGAACCGAGGGCGCCAGCCCCCGGGGAGCCACCCUUGGAAUACCACCCCCGACGUUCUGGCAUCCUAACCCCGGGCCCUCGACGGGCCGGGGGACCGUGCCUGGUGGGUAGUUUGACUGGGGCGGUCGCCUCCCAAAGAGUAACGGAGGCGCGCGCAAGGUCUGCUCGGGACGGUCGGCAACCGUCCUUGAGAGUGCAAGAGCGUAAGCAGGCUUGACUGCGAGACGUACGUGUCGAGCAGGUGGGAAACCAGGCUCUAGUGAUCCGGCGGCCCAGAGUGGAAUGGCCGUCGCUCAACGGAUAAAAGGUACUCCGGGGAUAACAGGCUGAUCUUCCCCAAGAGUCCACAUCGACGGGAAGGUUUGGCACCUCGAUGUCGGCUCAUCGCAUCCUGGGGCUGGAGCAGGUCCCAAGGGUACGGCUGUUCGCCGUUUAAAGCGGUACGCGAGCUGGGUUCAGAACGUCGUGAGACAGUUCGGUCCCUAUCCUCCGUGGGCGCAGGAAGACUGAGGGAGGCUGCCCCUAGUACGAGAGGACCGGGGUGGACGGACCUCCGGUGCACGGGUUGUUCACCAAGAGCACCGCCCGGUAGCCGAGUCCGGUCUGGAUAACCGCUGAAGGCAUCUAAGCGGGAAGCCAGUCCCGAGAUGAGUCUUCCCUUCGGUAAGGGCCCUCGUAGACCACGAGGUCGAUAGGGCGCAGGUGCAAGCGCGGCGACGCGCUCAGCCGAGCGUCACUAAUAGCCCGAGCUCUUCCCUU
This 1790-nucleotide ribosomal RNA is filed under the name human gut metagenome. RNAcentral's name for it is "bacterial LSU rRNA". It matches the Rfam family "Bacterial large subunit ribosomal RNA", at positions 1136 to 2925 of the family's 2925-position model. The record is from RNAcentral.